Cajanus cajan (pigeon pea) is the source of this 1580-nucleotide non-coding RNA. NCBI's taxonomy places the organism in Eukaryota, Viridiplantae, Streptophyta, Magnoliopsida, Fabales, Fabaceae. The record is from RefSeq and is a predicted model, not a curated record.
UCAUCAUGCUACCUUUUUGGCAAGUUAUAUACAUAUCAAUUUUGAUAUAUACUAACUUUGUUCUUGUAAAUCAAAUAUGGUCUAUUGUUUUUCAUUUACGGGGAAUACAUUUUUAUAUCACAAUGCCUAGAAAAAACAAUCAUAGACUUGUAGAUAGACAUUAUGAUGAAGUAGAGCCUUAUAUAGAGCAAUUAAUGAACACCCCAAAUUGUUGUGAACCCAAGUCAAAUGAAUUGAAAAAUUCAGGUGGCCUAAUAGGAUUAUCGUACAUGACAAGGUAUAAGACUAGAGAUGCCUUGAUAAAAGCAGACCAACUCGAAUACCAAGGGACCAAUGGACUGGUCUUGUCUCUUAUUGGCUUUUUGAUAAAGGAAAGAAGCGCAACCAAGCAAAUAGAAAUAAUAGGACAAAGCAAAAGAUGCCUCACACUAGAGGAUCCAAAAGUAUUGGAACCUUAAUGGUUGAAAAGGCCAUAGAUGGGAUAGAGCCUACAAGGGCAGAAAUCUUUAUAUUAACUCAUCAAAGACGUAAAGAUGGAAGACCAUUGGAUGACGUGUCUGCAAAAAUAGUGGAUGUGAUGCAAGAAAAAUUGAACAAUGGUGAAACAUCUAAUGAAAAACCUAUUGGUAGUGUUGCUUAGGAAGGAGAUGUGUAUUCCCAAGUAUUGGGGGCUGAAAGAAGUGGCUAUGUUCGUGGCUUAGGACUUGGUCCAACACCUUCUUUGUUGUGGGGUUCUAAAUCUUCCAUAGGAAGUACUUUUGCUGAUAAUAUAUCUAAUGAGGUAGUACAAAGAUUAGAGCAAGAGGUGAAGAUGUUAAAGGAGUUAAAAGAAAAACAUGAUGAAGAAAUGAAUUUGAUGAAACAAAAUCAAGAUAAGUUACUUUCAGAACUAUCUUUUAUUAGAAAAUUCAUGUACAAACAUUUUCCAAUGGAGCUAUCUAUGCCUCAAAAGUAAUGGAAGCUCAUUUGGACAACUAUGAUUCAAAUGCUUUUAAACUUUUUUUUUUCUUUUCAAAUUUUGAUUGUAAAAGACAAUGUUAUUUUCUUAUGUUUUAAUUAGGUCUUUGGUACUAAUAUUGGCCAGGAAAAAGCACCAGAAAUGCCACACAUGUCCUUUGGUGCUCAUGAAUCACAAUUACCUACAAAAUCUACUGCAACUAUGAAAACAGAGGCUAACAAAAACAGUAUGGUUCAAGCUGGUAACCUCACUUCCUUGCUCAAGCUUCUUAGAAAAGAUAAUGAUAAAGUUGUUCGCAUACUAGCAGCAAAGGCAAUUGCUAAUGUGUCCAUGAAUGAAUUAUAACUUUCGAGUCCUUGCAUCUUGAACACAAACAAGCACAACAUCUUUGGAAUAUCCUCUGCCAUACAAAGAGAAAGGGAGCAUAGCUCGUGAUGCUGAUAUGUAUAAUUAACUGGAUUUAAUUGUAAUUGAUGAAGACCUUUUAGAUAUUUUAGCAAAUAGCACUAGAUCAUUAAAGACUUUGCUUUCUUUGGGGAUAUGACUAUCUUAGAAAUGAAAUUAUGUAAUUUCUUUGGAUCAUGACAUCAUUGACUAUUCAUUUUAUCUUUUUAAUGGUUUC